GGAUUGUGGCUCAGUGGCAGAGUGCUUGCCUCACAUGUAUGAGGCACUGGGUUAGAUCCUCAGUACCA
RNAcentral lists this transfer RNA (68 nucleotides) under Marmota monax (woodchuck). RNAcentral describes it as "tRNA.Val". Lineage: Eukaryota; Metazoa; Chordata; Mammalia; Rodentia; Sciuridae. The record is from RNAcentral.